Molecule: small RNA, 121 nt
Filed under: Paenibacillus odorifer
Lineage: Bacteria; Bacillati; Bacillota; Bacilli; Caryophanales; Paenibacillaceae
Description: ydaO/yuaA leader
Rfam family: c-di-AMP riboswitch aptamer (ydaO/yuaA leader)
About the family: This family represents a conserved RNA structure found upstream of the ydaO and yuaA genes in Bacillus subtilis and related genes in other bacteria. The ydaO/yuaA element is thought to act as a genetic "off" switch for the ydaO and yuaA genes in its native state.
Source: RNAcentral
ACGCUUAAUUUCCAACUUUUACAGUUGAAAAGCGGGGGAACCAGUUAAUUGGGGCGAAUCAUUGAGCAUUAGAAUGUAGGGUACCAUCUUACCCGAGUCCGUCAGCUAACCUCGUCAGCAG